AAAUGAAUAGACGGGGGCCCGCACAAGCGGAGGAACAUGUGGUUUAAUUCGAUGAUACGCGAGGAACCUUACCUGGGCUUAAAUGCAGACUGCAUGGAGCAGAGAUGAUCCUUCCCUUCGGGGCUGUUUGCAAGGUGCUGCAUGGUUGUCGUCAGCUCGUGCCGUGAGGUGUCGGGUUAAGUCCCAUAACGAGCGCAACCCUUACCGUUAGUUGCCAUCGGGUCAAGCCGGGAACUCUAGCGGGACUGCCACCGUAAGGUGAGAGGAAGGUGGGGAUGACGUCAAAUCAGCACGGCCCUUAUGUCCAGGGCUACACACGUGUUACAAUGGUCGGUACAGAGGGCAGCUACCUGGUGACAGGAUGCCAAUCCCGAAAGCCGAUCCCAGUUCGGAUUGGAGUCUGCAACCCGACUCCAUGAAGUUGGAUUCGCUAGUAAUCGCGCAUCAGCCAUGGCGCGGUGAAUACGUUCCCGGGCCUUGUACACACCGCCCGU
Molecule: ribosomal RNA, 494 nt
Filed under: uncultured bacterium
Lineage: Bacteria
Description: bacterial SSU rRNA
Rfam family: Bacterial small subunit ribosomal RNA
Source: RNAcentral